ACUCCGUGCCAGCAGCCGCGGUAAUACGGAGGGUGCAAGCGUUAAUCGGAAUUACUGGGCGUAAAGCGCACGCAGGCGGUUUGUUAAGUCAGAUGUGAAAUCCCCGGGCUCAACCUGGGAACUGCAUCUGAUACUGGCAAGCUUGAGUCUCGUAGAGGGGGGUAGAAUUCCAGGUGUAGCGGUGAAAUGCGUAGAGAUCUGGAGGAAUACCGGUGGCGAAGGCGGCCCCCUGGACGAAGACUGACGCUCAGGUGCGAAAGCGUGGGGAGCAAACAGGAUUAGAUACCCUGGUAGUCCACGCCGUAAACGAUGUCGACUUGGAGGUUGUGCCCUUGAGGCGUGGCUUCCGGAGCUAACGCGUUAAGUCGACCGCCUGGGGAGUACGGCCGCAAGGUUAAAACUCAAAUGAAUUGACGGGGGCCCGCACAAGCGGUGGAGCAUGUGGUUUAAUUCGAUGCAACGCGAAGAACCUUACCUGGUCUUGACAUCCACGGAAGUUUUCAGAGAUGAGAAUGUGCCUUCGGGAACCGUGAGACAGGUGCUGCAUGGCUGUCGUCAGCUCGUGUUGUGAAAUGUUGGGUUAAGUCCCGCAACGAGCGCAACCCUUAUCCUUUGUUGCCAGCGGUCCGGCCGGGAACUCAAAGGAGACUGCCAGUGAUAAACUGGAGGAAGGUGGGGACGACGUCAAGUCAUCAUGGCCCUUACGACCAGGGCUACACACGUGCUACAAUGGCGCAUACAAAGAGAAGCGACCUCGCGAGAGCAAGCGGACCUCAUAAAGUGCGUCGUAGUCCGGAUUGGAGUCUGCAACUCGACUCCAUGAAGUCGGAAUCGCUAGUAAUCGUGGAUCAGAAUGCCACGGUGAAUACGUUCCCGGGCCUUGUACACACCGCCCGUCACACCAUGGGAGUGGGUUGCAAAAGAAGUAGGUAGCUUAACCUUCGGGAGGGCGCUUACCACUUUGUGAUUCAUGACUGGGGUGAAGUCGUAACAAGGUAACCGUAGGGGAACCUGCGGUUGGAUCACCUCCUUACCUUAAAGAAGC
This 1045-nucleotide ribosomal RNA is filed under the name Shigella boydii. RNAcentral's name for it is "bacterial SSU rRNA". It matches the Rfam family "Bacterial small subunit ribosomal RNA", at positions 500 to 1533 of the family's 1533-position model. Lineage: Bacteria; Pseudomonadati; Pseudomonadota; Gammaproteobacteria; Enterobacterales; Enterobacteriaceae. RNAcentral also lists the same sequence under 2 other names. The record is from RNAcentral.